CACCGCCCGUCACUACCACCGAUUGGAUGGUUUAGUGAGGUCCUCGGAUUGGCCCCGCCGGGGUCGGUCACGGCCCUGGCGGAGCGCCGAGAAGACGGUCGGACUUGACUAUCUAGAGGAAGUAAAAGUCAUAACAAGGUUUCCGUAGGUGAACCUGCGGAAG
This 163-nucleotide non-coding RNA is filed under the name Alligator mississippiensis (American alligator). RNAcentral describes it as "Eukaryotic small subunit ribosomal RNA". It matches the Rfam family "Eukaryotic small subunit ribosomal RNA", at positions 1667 to 1823 of the family's 1831-position model. Lineage: Eukaryota; Metazoa; Chordata; Crocodylia; Alligatoridae. The record is from Rfam by way of RNAcentral.